Long non-coding RNA from Andrographis paniculata, 690 nucleotides. RefSeq lists it as uncharacterized. The transcript is spliced from 3 exons. NCBI's taxonomy places the organism in Eukaryota, Viridiplantae, Streptophyta, Magnoliopsida, Lamiales, Acanthaceae. The record is from RefSeq and is a predicted model, not a curated record.
UUGAAGGACACUCCAUCUUUUUCUAUGCUAAGGAAAAUUAAUGUGAGGUGUGUUCUUUCCAAGGUUGCAUGAUAUAUACAACCAAAUGAGAGAAAGUUUGGUGGUGAGUGAGGUUUGAGAGCGAAAAUUUAGAGAGAGAAAUUAUUGUGUGUGCUCUCACCCUUCUCCUCAUUUUCUCCAUGUUUUGAACUGUUGUUUAACACUGAAACCCGCCGGAGAGGUCGACGGAGAUCGAAGAUAAUGGAGUUCCCACCGGAGAGGUUGAUCAAACUUUGAGUUGCUCUGUUGUAUGGUCGUUGUCAGUACGCGUUUGUGACAACGUGAACCUAUGGAGGUUAACCGUACAAGGAUGCAUGCAAGAAUAUGAAGUGAGAGUAUUUUCAGCAACUUAUUAAUGUUGUUGACUAUUGUCAUAGCAAGGGAGUCUUCUAUAGAGAUCUAAAGCCGUAAACUUACUUUUGGAUGCUGGAAACCUCAAAGUUUUCAAUUUCAAGUUAAGCGCUCUGUCCAAACAAUUCAGGGUAUAUAUAUACAUAUUCGAAUCUAAAUUAGUUGACUUUUAUUUCUCACAUAUAUUGUGUCCCAAAAAGUUUCUUUAGUUGAAUUUUGCAUUUAUGCCUUACGUAUACACACAUAUUUGUUAUCCAACAUUUACAAUUUGCUUAAGUUUUUCCUAUGUAUAUACACACA